AUGUUGUAUAUAAUGAGAAAGGAUGCGUUCCAAUCUGUGGUGAGAUUCAGACAGUUCGCACCAGUUUGGGAGAACCGGUUGUUAACUUGCUGAGCAGUUCGGUGAACUGGUUGCUGGAAGAAAUCAUUAGGGCAGAGAACCGGUUGUGAAAUUAUUUGAAUCCCACCACUGAUUAAAA
Non-coding RNA from Notechis scutatus (mainland tiger snake), 178 nucleotides. Lineage: Eukaryota; Metazoa; Chordata; Lepidosauria; Squamata; Elapidae. The record is from RefSeq and is a predicted model, not a curated record.